AACGCACAUUGCGCCCGCCAGCAUUCUGGCGGGCAUGCCUGUUCGAGCGUCAUUUCAACCCUCGAGCCCCCCUUCCCUCUCGGGGAGGGCGGGCCCGGUGUUGGGGAACGGCCCUCCUGCCCUCGCGGCUGGGGCGGCCGUCCCCGAAAUCCAGUGGCGGUCACGCCGCGGGCUCCUCUGCGUAGUAGCAACACCUCGCACUUGGGACCCGGCGCGGCCACGCCGUAAAUCAGACGAAUUUUCUGAAGGUUGACCUCGGAUCAGGUAGGAAUACCCGCUGAACUUAA
RNAcentral lists this unclassified non-coding RNA (287 nucleotides) under uncultured fungus. RNAcentral's name for it is "sequence contains ITS2". The record is from RNAcentral. Lineage: Eukaryota; Fungi.